UAACUGAAGAGUUUGAUCAUGGCUCAGAUUGAACGCUGGCGGCAGGCUUAACACAUGCAAGUCGAGCGGGGGAAGGUAGCUUGCUACUGGACCUAGCGGCGGACGGGUGAGUAAUGCUUAGGAAUCUGCCUAUUAGUGGGGGACAACAUCUCGAAAGGGAUGCUAAUACCGCAUACGUCCUACGGGAGAAAGCAGGGGAUCUUCGGACCUUGCGCUAAUAGAUGAGCCUAAGUCGGAUUAGCUAGUUGGUGGGGUAAAGGCCUACCAAGGCGACGAUCUGUAGCGGGUCUGAGAGGAUGAUCCGCCACACUGGGACUGAGACACGGCCCAGACUCCUACGGGAGGCAGCAGUGGGGAAUAUUGGACAAUGGGGGGAACCCUGAUCCAGCCAUGCCGCGUGUGUGAAGAAGGCCUUAUGGUUGUAAAGCACUUUAAGCGAGGAGGAGGCUACUUUAGUUAAUACCUAGAGAUAGUGGACGUUACUCGCAGAAUAAGCACCGGCUAACUCUGUGCCAGCAGCCGCGGUAAUACAGAGGGUGCGAGCGUUAAUCGG
Molecule: ribosomal RNA, 553 nt
Filed under: Acinetobacter baumannii
Lineage: Bacteria; Pseudomonadati; Pseudomonadota; Gammaproteobacteria; Moraxellales; Moraxellaceae
Description: bacterial SSU rRNA
Rfam family: Bacterial small subunit ribosomal RNA
Source: RNAcentral